This is a small nucleolar RNA of Ochotona princeps (American pika), 183 nucleotides long. Ensembl annotates it as small nucleolar RNA, H/ACA box 23. Its record names the gene SNORA23. The record is from Ensembl. NCBI's taxonomy places the organism in Eukaryota, Metazoa, Chordata, Mammalia, Lagomorpha, Ochotonidae.
GCUGUAAUGUGUGCAUAGGUUUUAAUCUGUGUCUGGUAGCAGUGUCUGUGUGCGUUUUGCACUCAGAUCUUGCUAUUCACACAUACCGAGCGGCCACAGAGUAACAUGGGAUCAUAGUACUGGUCUAGUGUUGUCUCUUUGGACAUAACUACCACUGGCCAGCCUCCAAAAUCCCAAACAUAG